GCGCUCGUGGCUCAGCUGGAUAGAGCGCCGGACUACGAAUCCGAAGGUCGCAGGUUCGAAUCCUGCCGGGCGCGCCA
RNAcentral lists this transfer RNA (77 nucleotides) under Deltaproteobacteria bacterium. RNAcentral describes it as "tRNA-Arg". It matches the Rfam family "tRNA". Rfam says of the family: Transfer RNA (tRNA) molecules are approximately 80 nucleotides in length. Their secondary structure includes four short double-helical elements and three loops (D, anti-codon, and T loops). Further hydrogen bonds mediate the characteristic L-shaped molecular structure. tRNAs have two regions of fundamental functional importance: the anti-codon, which is responsible for specific mRNA codon recognition, and the 3' end, to which the tRNAs corresponding amino acid is attached (by aminoacyl-tRNA synthetases). tRNAs cope with the degeneracy of the genetic code in two manners: having more than one tRNA (with a specific anti-codon) for a particular amino acid; and 'wobble' base-pairing, i.e. permitting non-standard base-pairing at the 3rd anti-codon position. Lineage: Bacteria; Pseudomonadati; Myxococcota; Myxococcia. The record is from RNAcentral.